CUGUGCCUCAUUUGGAGAAAUCUGGUAUGCGUUGGUGAGGACCUCAACAGGCAUUGCUCUAAUCACUGAUGUGUAACCAGCAAGCUGGCUGUUCAUAGGUUCACUGCUUGUCCUCCACACCACAAAUUCAAGUCCAUUCUGUCCUGCUCUCACUGUUGAGGCGAAGUACUGAGGAACCACAAACAUUUCUCCUUGGUUCACUCUGUCGUUCAUCACUUGUUGUCCGCUGUGGUCUACUACUUGCACUUGUGCCUCUCCUCUUUGCACGUACACCACGCAGUGGCCGUUCACUGACCAAUGUGGGCUCAACAAUGCAUUCUGCAUCCACCAAUUUUAAUCUAUUACUAAUAUUCUCCCUGGUUCACUCUGUCGUUCAUCACUUGUUGUCCGGUGUGGUCUACUACUUGCACUUGUGCCUCUCCUCUUUGCACGUACACCACGCAGUGGCCGUUUACUGACCAAUGUGGGGUCAUCAAUGCAUUCUGCAUCAACCAAAUUUUGAAUUAAGUCAUAGUACUAGCAGUUUAUUUAUUGUAUGUAAUCAACUUGAGAAAAUUAAACAAAGGUUUACCGGAUAGAGGGUGCCUUUGGAGGCACUCAUGUCCAUGUAUUUAAGGAUAGGAAGUUUCUGGCGAUUAACAUGGUUAAUUUUGCCGGCUUGCCUUGAGAAGAUGUCAGCUUGUGUUCGAUGUUCAACGUUGGUGCGGAUUUUCAUUGUACAAAUGUUUUCUUCCAAGCCAUUUCCGGUUGCUUCCUCCCACCAUUGUUGUCCUCGUCGUGGUCGCCCUUGCUCUUCUUCGAAUUCUCCUUCUUCUUCAUCGGGCCUAAUCAUUCUCAUUUCUUCCCUCACAUUGACAAUUAGGCCACGUUCGCUCUGCUCUUCUUGCAUCCUCCUUACAAUCUCGGCAGGGAUGUUGAAGGCCUCAGCCAUUAGUUCUGUAUCGAAAGCACGGAAAAUGUUCUGGAACCGCUGCCUACUCUGUAGUCUUUGGCCUGCUUGAGUUUGUUGCCUUCCACUUUCUGGUACUCCACCAGCCAAGUAGAAUGCCUGCAAUCCAAAGACAUAGCCAACCAAUAUAUACACGAAUUAUGAAAUUGCGAUGAACAAAACUCAGCAAAUUAUAUAUAGUAAAUUUUACCCUCAAGUUCUGAUCAAGUUGGUUGGAGCGAUGGUUGAGGUCGUUGACAGAGAUGGCAACAAGCUCUUCCUCACCAUCAUUAUAGCACCAAUGAGCUGCGCCAGCUGGAAGUGCCACGACAUCACCUUGACGAAUGCGGUGAACCUUCUGGUGUUGGUCACUUCUGCGGCCUUGGCCCCUCUCUUCCCAUGGCUCUCGGCCAGCCUGGAAGGUCUGGGACUGAGACUGGAAAGUCUCAGCACAGCCAGGGUAAGUAAUGCCAAUCAAUCCCUGGCCGCGCUCAAUGUAAACUAAGCGCGGCAUGGGAUGGAAAUUAGGCAGAGAAAGGGAGUUGCGGCGGAUGACACUCCUUAUGGGAGCAACUCCAGCGCUUCCCUGGCCACGCUCAAUGUAAACUAAGCGCGGCAUGGGAUGGAAAUUAGGCAGAGAAAGGGAGUUGCGGCGGAUGACACUCCUUAUGGGAGCAACUCCAGCGCACUGGAAUUGUUCCUCGUUCUCGUCCCACAGCUCAGUGACACCGCCCUCGGACUCAAUUCGGUUAGUGGGCUGAGUGGCAGUGAGCCUUGUUAAACGGCAUUGUUGAGCUUCAGUCAGACGAGUGCCUCUCUCACCCCGCUGGCCAGCUUGCCGACCCUGAAAAUCUCUGACUGCAUUUGUUGCAGACAAGAGAAAAGCAGAGAGGAGUAAAGCUAAGAGGAGUCUAGUAGUGACUGCCAUGGCUAAUUAGGAGAGAUUGUUAAUUACAAGAUGAGAAUUGGAGAGACCGAGGCCUCCUUCUUAUAGUGUUUGAGUGGAACAAGUGCGAUGGCCGUGUGGCAAUGAAGUCUGUUUUCUUUUGCAUGGUGAAGGUGUCUUCUUUUCUGCCCAAGAACGACACAUUGCAAUGGUUGUUCGAAGGAAUCAAACUACAUGCAAACUGACCUGUGUUAGUUUUUAUGUUCUUUUUCUUUUUCCUUUUUUGUUUGAUUAAAUGUUACUGUAAUUAGUUUUUGAUGCUUCAUUUUCCCUUCUUGGGAAAAAUAUGACGUAGACAUGCAAAUUCAAUUGCUUAUUUGGAUUAUUGGCUUAACGAUAUGGGAUUCAGCAUACUACUGCCGUUUUUGUUUUUGAUUAAAUGUUACUGUAACUUGUUUUUAUGCUUCAUUUUGUCUUCUUGGGAAAAAUAUGACGUGGACGUAUACGAAUUCGAUUGCUUAUUUGUACUAUAGUAGUACUUCCUAAUUUUCUCUCAUCUGUUUUGGCUUAACGAUAUGGAAUUCAAAAUACUACACCAAGGAUUAUUAAAGGUGCCAAUUUAGAGGUGUUAGUUUGUGAUGCCUAACGUCGCACUAUUGUUAAAUUGUAAUGGGCCUAAUUUGGUGUAAAGUUACCUACAUAUUUUGAAUGCGUAAUAACUUCCUGACCACAUAAACUUAUAGAUCUUUUCAAAAUUGAUACAUAAAUUUUAAAGUUUUCCAUAAUAAACACAUUUAAUCGUUGACCAUAUUUAUUUCCGCACAGAAGCGUGAAAGCCCUCUUCCCAAUGGCCAAGAGUCCAAAAUGGGUUGUAUUUAAGUGAGUUCUUAUUCAUUCCUUGUAAAAUAUAUUAUUCCUCCGUCAUACAGAAUCUGAAGCUCAUUUCUCCAUUUUUCUAAAAUCUUAAGCUCCAUUUAUUUUUUUUCUUCUUUAUACAGAUGGUAAAAAUGAUGCAAAGUCCUAUAUUUUGCCAUUGUGAAAUUGAAGUUAAGUUUUGCAUCAAUUGAAAGCCAAUAAAUCCAGGAAGAAGUUUUUAUGGGUGUUCAAAUUAUGGUCAAAAUAAUUCUUACAAUCUUUUAGGUGGUUUGACCCACCUCUUCCAAUUUACUUUUGUCAUCUCUCCCUCAACCUUUAGGUUCCUUACUCCAUGCCAGAUGCUGCUCAAUUUUCCAUGUAAAUCAGCGCGCGAAUGGCAUUGAGGACGAAUCUCCCGUCCAAAUGAAAUGUGGAAGACAGAAUAAAAAACUGAUAAUUUUCAAAAGGAUUUGUCAUUGCUCUUGUGAAAUUAUUAUGGUUAAGUGUCUUUGAUGUUUUAGCAUGGAAGCAGCCUCUCUGUCAUUUUGGGUAGGGGUAAGAUUGCCUACAUAUUACCCUCCCCAGACCCCACCUGGUGGGAGUAUACUGGGUAGUUGUUGUUGUUGUUGUUGUUGAAAUAAUGUAUAGUCGCACAUAUCUCUGUCUUAGGUUGACAAUGUGCUUCAUUAUAUUAUACGUACGACUUUAAGCUUUUUAAAGUAAACAAAUGUAUUUAGGUAUUAAAGACAGCCAAAUAUUAUGACGUGAAAAGUGAACUGUGUAAUUAAGCGCCAGCAGAGGUGGAUUCAGGAUUUGAGCCUUAUGAGUUUCAAUUUUGAGCCUUAUGAGUUUUUACUGUAAUUUCAAUUUACUUUGAUGUUUUAUUGAACAUAUAGGUUCUAAUGUAGCUAGAAGUUUACCCCUCUUCUAUUUAACGUACACAAAUAGAAGGAUAUGAAAGAAGACAAACAUUGGGUAUAGCUUCUUCCUAAUAGGUUAGCGCCUUUGUAAAGCAAAAUCAAUGAUACAAAAUGCCUACUCAUCAUUAGAACUAAGAGAUAUUUAAGCUAACAUAUUAGAAUUAUAUAUUUCGCGCUCAUGUUAGUAUGAGAAAGCUAUUAUUGGUUAGAGAGAGGUAAGAGGCAAAAUGAAUGACUUUUGGUCAAUGGAAUAAAAAGCGGGGAGGGGUUGGGGGGACAAAUUCGUUGGUCAUUUUGCUGACUGGACGGACGCAUCUGUGUAUGUGUAAUACACGCACGUAGGCUUAAUGGUCAUAUAUAUUUAUUAGUUAAGGAAUGUUAGAUCUAAUUUUAAUGAUGAAAAUAAUAUAUUUACUCUUUGUAUAAGAACUCUUGAAUAACUGUCAAAAUUGGCGAAAUCAAUCAUCAAUGAUCAAAGAACGUAUGGAUUGAUAUACAAGAUUGAUGGAAUAUAUCAGAAGACAUCUAGGAAACGAGGCGCAUUAAAAGGAACAAGCAAUCAAUCAUGAAGAUACUGACGAGAUCAAUCAAGGCUAAACUAAAGGAAUCAUAUAAAUCAAGAUCUCACUGAAUAAUUAAUCAAGUGUCUAAAUAUGGAGGAUCAAGAAUUCGGGCUGGCGAAGAACAACUUUAUUCUUGGAAAGAAUCAAUCUCUUGGGUUGGCAAAUUUUUCCAGAAUUCAAGCUUCUCUUAAAGUAUUUAAACCUGUAAUCACGCCUUAGAAAAAUAUACUUUGAUCGAACCAAACAGCCCUCUUAGAGUUAUACAACAAACAAACAUUGUAGCUCUUUAAGACUUGUUGUGUAACAAGUUAGAGAAGAAAAGAAGAACAAUACUGGUAACGCAUUAUAUUAAAAGAGACGAGUGAUAUAGGAACUGAGCUUUCUCAUUGUACUCGGAGAAACUCAUUCACUAAGGAGGACUCCCUUGCAACCCAAGGGGACUGGACUAAGAUUCACAAAUCCGAACCAGAAUAAAAAUUUUAGUUUCUUUAAUUCCUGCAUUUAAUUUCAGCAUCUUAUAUUCUGUUGUUACUACUGUCAGAUUAAUACAUCUGGUCGACUAUUUUGAAAACUAGUCAACUAACAGCGAUUAGGUUUGAAAAUACACAAUUUACCCCUUCUUGUACUUUCAAUUGAUAUCAGAGCAAGACUUAUAUUUUUCUUUUGCUUAACAGCUUGUGAGAAAAAAUCAUGCCAAAUCAAGUUAUCGUAGGAGCUCUCUUCCAGGAAAGAACUUCACAAGUUAAGCCAUCAUACUUCAGUGGACAAUAUAUUCUUCCACUGAAAAGUGCGUAUGGAGAUAUAUGCCAAGGCAUAUGACGUUAAAGUUUGGAGAGUCAUCGAAAAGGGGAAUUAUCCCCUGCCAGCUGCCGCUCAUCCACUUACUGAUCCUGAAAAUAUAGAUUCAUAUACAAACGAGCAAAUCGCAGUGGUACAAGUUAACAAUAAAGCAAGAAACCUUCUUUUUAAUGCCAUAAGUGGUGAGGAGUAUAAGAAAUUCUUAAGCUGUGACACAUCCAAAGAGAUGUGGGAAAAGCUUGAAGUUACAUACGAAUGAACCAGCAAGGUAAAGAAAACACAUUUCAACAUGUUGGUUCAUGACUGCGAACUCUUUUCAAUGAGAGAAUGAGAGUCUAUUGAAGAGAUGUUUGCCAGAUUCAACAAAAUAAUUAGCGAUCUAAAAGCCUUCGGCAAAUCAUAUACGAGUGGUGAUCAAUUUAGAAAAAUUCUCAGAAGCCUACCAACUGCUUAGUAGACCAACGUAUUCACACUUGAAUCUCAGGAUCUAAAUAAGUUAUCCUAUGAUGAACUACGACGAGAACUCAUAGCAUUUUAAAAGACACAUCUCAAGAAGACUAAUCAAGAAGAAAAAAGAAAAUAGUCACAUUCAAGGCCUCAACUGAAGUAGCUGAAAAUAAUAUCGUUGGUGAUCCUGAAGCCUUUCAAGAAGAGAUUUCUAUGCUGUCAAGAAAUAUGGUUGGUUUAAUGAGAAGAUUCAGCAAACAAGGAUAAGAAUUCCGCCUAGGCGAUCCAAGCAAUACAAAAAACAAGAGAAGAAUGAUGGAAAAUUCUAUGAGUGUGGAAGAUUUGGACACAUUCAAGCUUAGUGCCCAGAUCAAAAAUAAUUCCAGUCUUUUAGAAGUUGGAGUGAUGAAGAUAGUUCGAAACAAGAAUAGAUAGCAAAUAUUUGCUUCAUGACGAUUUUGGAAAACGAGAUGAACAAAUCCUUAGGAUGCUGGAUGGAUAAAGGCAUCUCAGAUGACGAAUGCCAAGAUAACAUUGAGAACUAUUUCAUGGCAAGAGGUGAAACAAGCGAGGUAAGAUCAUAUAACUAAGAAAGAUGCAUGAAUUGCAUGAUAUUCUUGAUUUAACUUUGAAAGAGUCUCAAAAAAUAAUUAAUAAACUUAAAAGACUAAAUAAAGAAGUAAAAGACUGGAAGCACAAACAAGAAGUAUGUAAAAUUGAAAAGAAAGUACUUCAAGAAGAGUUUGAGGAAUUGCAAAUGUAAAUCAAUGGUAUGCGCAAAUCCAUUACACAUUUCUAUCAGGUCAAACCAGGCAACUUACAAUUCCAUUGGAAAAAGACCAGUUAGAACAAAAUCCACUAGUACUAACACUAAUGAAAGACCUAAAAAUAGGCCAGAAGUUAUGUGUCACUACUACAAUAAAAGUGGACAUAAAUAUUCUUUUUUCCUCUUUCGUAAAGCAAAUGUUUCAGGAUGUGUUUGGAAAUCAAAAAACAAUUCUGAACCUAGUAAUACUAACCCCCCAGGACCCAAUCAAGCUUGGCUACCUAAAAACAAGUAAUCACUAUGUUCUGCAGGAACACCACAGAGUAAGCCGCAAAGAAAAACGAUACUUAGACAGUGCGUGUUCCAGUCAUCAAACAUCCUACCACUCCCCGGGCCAAGCUGGUCAUCACUAGAUAUAGUGGGCAGGUUCUUUCACAAAUUACCUCCUUCACGUGGAAUGUUAUAUUGAAAGGAUGGGAAAUUUGUAGUAAGGGUAUUAGACGGUCUCCUCAUUUAAACUCGAGUUUGAAUAUUUGGACCAAUAAUUGGAUUCCAAAUUGUGACAACCUCGGGGGUAAAAUUGAGGGCCCGCUGAAGCCGAAAACCUUCAACAUUAAACUAAAUGACCUGUUGUGUAAAAAUAAAUGGGACUUAAUGAAGCUUACUUUAGAUAUCCCUAAAUAUAUUGAACACAACAUCUAUAAUACAAAAAUUCGUUUGAAAAGUCCAUCGGCUGAUAUUGCCACUUGGUCACUUCCCAAAAAGGUAUAUUUACUAGAAAAGUUGUUACAAACUUAUAGAGAACUUUGAAGAAAGAGAUCACACAAAUUAUGAUUGGAUGUCUUCUCUACAUUGUCCAAACAAAAUUAAAUAUUUAUUAUGAUAAUGUAUGCAUAACAGACUUCCAUGUAGAAGUUGCCUCCCCAUAUUGGCAUUAACAUUGACAAAUUAUGCCCAAUAUCCAAUAAGGGGGAAGUGGAAACUAUAGAGUACAUCUUCUGUACAUGCUCCAUUAGUCAAGCUCUUUGGAAUAAAAUAGGAAGACUUUCUCCUCAUGAUCUUUCUAAAUGGAAUUGGCUAUCCAACAAAAAAAUACAAAAAAUAACUUUAAAACACAAUCUUCUUGGCUGGAAUAAUCUUCUACCUUUUGCUAGUUGGGACAUACGGACUACUAGAAACUCCAACAACCAAAAUAAUGCGAAAAAAUUGGUAAACGUACACCAUACUUUGCAAAGAUAUAUAGACUAUAAAUUAAUGACUACUCUUAAUCCUCUACCAACGGAAAAUAUCCAAAUCGACUACAAAUUGCAACCCUCCCCCCCCCCCCCCCNNNNNNNNNNNNNNNNNNNNNNNNNNNNNNNNNNNNNNNNNNNNNNNNNNNNNNNNNNNNNNNNNNNNNNNNNNNNNNNNNNNNNNNNNNNNNNNNNNNNNNNNNNNNNNNNNNNNNNNNNNNNNNNNNNNNNNNNNNNNNNNNNNNNNNNNNNNNNNNNNNNNNNNNNNNNNNNNNNNNNNNNNNNNNNNNNNNNNNNNNNNNNNNNNNNNNNNNNNNNNNNNNNNNNNNNNNNNNNNNNNNNNNNNNNNNNNNNNNNNNNNNNNNNNNNNNNNNNNNNNNNNNNNNNNNNNNNNNNNCCCCCCACACACACAAAGGUUGUUAUAAUCUCAAUGUGGAUGCUAGUUACAACAAUUCCAAAAGUUGUAUAGGAGGAGUUUUCCGGAAUAGCACUUGUUAAUGGAUUGUAGGCUAUACCAAAAGUAUUAGAGCAAUGGGGGGGACUAACCGCUGAACUCAAAGCUAACAAAGAAGGGUUAAAAAUGGCCACGGAAUGGAAACUUCUACCGUUCCACAUCGAAUCCAACUGUGCUGGAGCCAUUAAGGUCAUUCUUUCUGGGUAGAAUUUUAUUGACAAAAUGUUCCCACUUUCAAGUUGUUAGUGCACCAAUGGAAGGAGAAGAUCCUCUAGCUCACAUUUAGGGAGUGCAACAAAGUAUCCCACGAAUUAUCCAGGGUGGAAGGAAGUGUUGAAGUGAAGAAGAAAGUUUUUGUAAUAGCUUCUUUUGUAGUAUCAAACUUUGCUACUUAUGAUCUGGACAAGGAUCGUUAAUAUGUUAAAUACUUACUUAUGGAUGCUUGCAAUGCGUUAGCAAGCCUAGGAAAUCAAAAUGUCAUAAGUGACACUAUAUUUGGUAAUGUAACUCUAUUUAGCUUUAUUAAUACAUGCUUCCUUGUUUGCUAAAAAAAGACAAUAGGAACUUUUAUAUAUGUGAAUUCAGGAAUUAGUGAUUUGUAAAGAACCCUAGAAUGUCCAAUUCUAUUUUCUUAAGGCUUUUACGUCUUUUCCCUGCCAAGAGCCCUUUAUGGGCUUUAGUCUUAUGGUAAGCAACACCCACUUCCAACCCAAAAGUUGUGAGUUCGAGUCUCCCCAAGAGCAAGGUGGGAAGUUCUUGGAGGGAAGGAUGUCGNNNNNNNNNNNNNNNNNNNNNNNNNNNNNNNNNNNNNNNNNNNNNNNNNNNNNNNNNNNNNNNNNNNNNUUCUUGGAGGGAAGGAUGUCGGGGGUCUAUUUGGAAACAGCAUCUCUACCCCAGGGUAGGGGUAAGGUCUGUGUACACACUACUCUCCCCAGACCCCGCUAAGUGGGAUUAUACUGGGUUGUUGUUAUUGUUGAUACCCAAAUUUAUUAAUUAAUAAUAUUAAAAUUAUUAAUAUCCCCCUAAUUGUACAUUCAAUUAUUUAAGUAUAAUUUUAUUUUAUUUUUUUGCACUCUAGGCAAGAUUAAGAAAAAUUAAUUUUAUAAUUAGUAUGUCUUGAAACUUUUAUAGAUUGAGGAGCGUUACAUCGAUUUUUCAAGAAGUUGGGCUGCAUAGAAGCUAAUUGUUAGACCAAGCAUAGAACAAAAGCAAGCAAACUUGACCGAGCAAAAACAAGCAAAUUUCACAAAAGAAAUUGAAGAGGGAAGUAAGUUAUUCAUGACCCAAUCUCCUAUCAAUGAUGACCUUAAUGGAGGGUGAUUCAUGGAACGAGGUCACUGUUUAAAGUACUUGAUGAGUCCCAAAAAGGUAUGGUCCAAUGAGUGUUGAAUCUUUAGGUGAAAGUCGAUAUUUUUUUUGUUCACCGGAUGAUUAUACUCGAAUGAGUUGUGUUUAUUAUGAUUUUGUAAAAAAAUCAAUUAUUUUGAAACAAAGUUUUGCAAAUAAAUAAUUAACUUUUUGACAGCUUUCUCGCAACGCUUUCAGUUGAAAGAAAAGUAUUGGUAUCUUUUAUGGGGCCUUAAAAGCAAAUUCACGUUGCAUUCUAAUUUCAUUGCCAAUCUAGCAGAUUGCUCCAAUAAAAUUGUAACUGGCCAAACUUUGGAUCAAGUUAUAUUAGAGACCUUUUGAAGUCAUAGUAAUUCUGUCUGCCAAGUUGAUUUACUACUUGGUACACAUGCCUAGAAAAUAGACAUAGUAGCCAUUUUAAAAGGACCUUCGCUGGGGAGAUAGGAGGAAGCUCUCUCCACCCCUGUUAGUCUUCAAGCGCUGUGCUUCAUUCGGAGAAAUCUGGUAGGCGUUGGUGAGGACCUCAACAGGCAUUGCUCUAAUCACUGAUGUAUAACCAGCAAGUUGGCUGUUCAUAGGUUCACUGCUUGUCCUCCACACCACAAAUUCAAGUCCAUUCUGUCCUGCUCUCACUGUUGAGGCGAAGUACUGAGGAACCACAAACAUUUCUCCUUGGUUCACUCUGUCGUUCAUCACUUGUUGUCCGCUGUGGUCUACUACUUGCACUUGUGCCUCUCCUCUUUGCACGUACACCACGCAGUGGCCGUUCAC
This 9967-nucleotide long non-coding RNA is filed under the name Nicotiana benthamiana. Its description in RNAcentral is "long non-coding RNA (NBEN_LNC016142)". Lineage: Eukaryota; Viridiplantae; Streptophyta; Magnoliopsida; Solanales; Solanaceae. The record is from RNAcentral.